RNAcentral lists this ribosomal RNA (253 nucleotides) under uncultured bacterium. RNAcentral describes it as "partial 16S ribosomal RNA". It matches the Rfam family "Bacterial small subunit ribosomal RNA", at positions 524 to 776 of the family's 1533-position model. The record is from RNAcentral.
GACGUAGGGUGCGAGCGUUGUUCGGAUUCAUUGGGCGUAAAGGGUGCGUAGGCGGCGCGGUAAGUCGGGUGUGAAAUCUCGGAGCUUAACUCCGAAACUGCAUUCGAUACUGCCGUGCUUGAGGACUGGAGAGGAGACUGGAAUUUACGGUGUAGCGGUGAAAUGCGUAGAUAUCGUAAGGAAGACCAGUGGCGAAGGCGGGUCUCUGGACAGUUCCUGACGCUGAGGCACGAAGGUCAGGGGAGCAAACGGG